This 648-nucleotide ribosomal RNA is filed under the name Serratia proteamaculans. RNAcentral describes it as "bacterial SSU rRNA". It matches the Rfam family "Bacterial small subunit ribosomal RNA", at positions 37 to 674 of the family's 1533-position model. Lineage: Bacteria; Pseudomonadati; Pseudomonadota; Gammaproteobacteria; Enterobacterales; Yersiniaceae. The record is from RNAcentral.
UGGCGGCAGGCCUAACACAUGCAAGUCGAGCGGUAGCACAGGAGAGCUUGCUCUCUGGGUGACGAGCGGCGGACGGGUGAGUAAUGUCUGGGAAACUGCCUGAUGGAGGGGGAUAACUACUGGAAACGGUAGCUAAUACCGCAUAACGUCUUCGGACCAAAGUGGGGGACCUUCGGGCCUCACGCCAUCAGAUGUGCCCAGAUGGGAUUAGCUAGUAGGUGGGGUAAUGGCUCACCUAGGCGACGAUCCCUAGCUGGUCUGAGAGGAUGACCAGCCACACUGGAACUGAGACACGGUCCAGACUCCUACGGGAGGCAGCAGUGGGGAAUAUUGCACAAUGGGCGCAAGCCUGAUGCAGCCAUGCCGCGUGUGUGAAGAAGGCCUUCGGGUUGUAAAGCACUUUCAGCGAGGAGGAAGGGUAGUGUGUUAAUAGCACAUUGCAUUGACGUUACUCGCAGAAGAAGCACCGGCUAACUCCGUGCCAGCAGCCGCGGUAAUACGGAGGGUGCAAGCGUUAAUCGGAAUUACUGGGCGUAAAGCGCACGCAGGCGGUUUGUUAAGUCAGAUGUGAAAUCCCCGCGCUUAACGUGGGAACUGCAUUUGAAACUGGCAAGCUAGAGUCUUGUAGAGGGGGGUAGAAUUCCAGGU